GUGGCCUAACGAUCCUUUAUGUGCGGCGCGCUUCCGCCUAGAGGUGUCAGAAAAGUUACCACAGGGAUAACUGGCUUGUGGCAGCCAAGCGUUCAUAGCGACGUUGCUUUUUGAUCCUUCGAUGUCGGCUCUUCUCAUCAUUGCGUUGCAGUAGGCCCAAAGUGUUAGAUUGUUCACCUAUAAACGAGGAACGUGAGCUGGGUUUAGACCGUCGUGAGACAGGUUAGUUUUACCCUACUUUCGGUUGUCUUUGUUGACGCUACUCGGAUUAAGUACGAGAGGAACUACCCGGGGGAGCAUUUGGUUCAUGGGUUCGUCGAACGACGAGGGCCCAGACGCUACGCUCCAUGCGCUAAAUCCUGAAAGCCUCUAAGGAUGAAGCGUCGGCGAACAUGGCAAAGAUCUCUGCUGGGGGGU
This 417-nucleotide non-coding RNA is filed under the name Beta vulgaris subsp. vulgaris (sugar beet). Its description in RNAcentral is "Eukaryotic large subunit ribosomal RNA". It matches the Rfam family "Eukaryotic large subunit ribosomal RNA", at positions 2760 to 3176 of the family's 3401-position model. The record is from Rfam by way of RNAcentral. Lineage: Eukaryota; Viridiplantae; Streptophyta; Magnoliopsida; Caryophyllales; Amaranthaceae.